UAACUGAAGAGUUUGAUCAUGGCUCAGAUUGAACGCUGGCGGCAGGCUUAACACAUGCAAGUCGAGCGGGGGAAGGUAGCUUGCUACUGGACCUAGCGGCGGACGGGUGAGUAAUGCUUAGGAAUCUGCCUAUUAGUGGGGGACAACAUCUCGAAAGGGAUGCUAAUACCGCAUA
Molecule: ribosomal RNA, 175 nt
Filed under: Acinetobacter baumannii
Lineage: Bacteria; Pseudomonadati; Pseudomonadota; Gammaproteobacteria; Moraxellales; Moraxellaceae
Description: partial 16S ribosomal RNA
Rfam family: Bacterial small subunit ribosomal RNA
Source: RNAcentral